This 267-nucleotide ribosomal RNA is filed under the name uncultured bacterium. RNAcentral describes it as "partial 16S ribosomal RNA". It matches the Rfam family "Bacterial small subunit ribosomal RNA", at positions 338 to 619 of the family's 1533-position model. The record is from RNAcentral.
CCUACGGGGCGCAGCCGUGGGGGAUAUUGGACAAUGGGGGGAACCCUGAUCCAGCGACGCCGCGUGCGUGCAGAAGUAUCUCGGUAUGUAAAGCUCUCUCCGCAGGGAAGAAAGAAAUGACGGUACCUGAGUAAGAAGCCCCGGCUAACUACGUGCCAGCAGCCGCGGUAAUACGUCGGGGGCAAGCGUUAUCCGGAAUUACUGGGUGUAAAGGGAGCGUCGACGGUGAAGUAAGUCUGGAGUGCACGGCGGGGGCCCAACCCCCGG